Molecule: ribosomal RNA, 476 nt
Filed under: Eubazus (Brachistes) sp. 5 BJS-2011
Lineage: Eukaryota; Metazoa; Arthropoda; Insecta; Hymenoptera; Braconidae
Description: eukaryotic LSU rRNA
Rfam family: Eukaryotic large subunit ribosomal RNA
Source: RNAcentral
CCUAAAGGCGUAAUGAAAGUAAAGAUUNGUCCUUGUGAUAAUUAAGGGAGGAUGAGUUACGUUACGAUGUUACUCCGCACUCCCGGGGCGUCUCGUUCUUUUAUAAGAAGAGGCGCACCCAGAGCGUACACGUUGGGACCCGAAAGAUGGUGAACUAUGCCUGGUCAGGACGAAGUCAGGGGAAACCCUGAUGGAGGUCCGUAGCGAUUCUGACGUGCAAAUCGAUCGUCGGAACUGGGUAUAGGGGCGAAAGACUAAUCGAACCAUCUAGUAGCUGGUUCCCUCCGAAGUUUCCCUCAGGAUAGCUGGCACUCGCGAGUUCUUAUGAACUUAUACGAGUCUCAUCUGGUAAAGCGAAUGAUUAGAGGCCUUGGGGCCGAAACGACCUCAACCUAUUCUCAAACUUUAAAUGGGUGAGAUCUCUGGCUUGCUUGAAUAUAUGAAGCCAUGAGAUUUCGGAUCAGAGUGCCAAGUGG